GAUGAACGCUGGCGGCGUGCCUAAUACAUGCAAGUCGAGCGAACGGACGAGAAGCUUGCUUCUCUGAUGUUAGCGGCGGACGGGUGAGUAACACGUGGAUAACCUACCUAUAAGACUGGGAUAACUUCGGGAAACCGGAGCUAAUACCGGAUGAUAUUUUGAACCGCAUGGUUCAAAAGUGAAAGACGGUCUUGCUGUCACUUAUAGAUGGAUCCGCGCUGCAUUAGCUAGUUGGUAAGGUAACGGCUUACCAAGGCAACGAUGCAUAGCCGACCUGAGAGGGUGAUCGGCCACACUGGAACUGAGACACGGUCCAGACUCCUACGGGAGGCAGCAGUAGCGAAUCUUCCGCAAUGGGCGAAAGCCUGACGGAGCAACGCCGCGUGAGUGAUGAAGGUCUUCGGAUCGUAAAACUCUGUUAUUAGGGAAGAACAUAUGUGUAAGUAACUGUGCACAUCUUGACGGUACCUAAGCAGAAAGCCACGGCUAACUACGU
RNAcentral lists this ribosomal RNA (496 nucleotides) under uncultured bacterium. RNAcentral describes it as "partial 16S ribosomal RNA". It matches the Rfam family "Bacterial small subunit ribosomal RNA", at positions 28 to 506 of the family's 1533-position model. The record is from RNAcentral.